This 401-nucleotide ribosomal RNA is filed under the name uncultured bacterium. RNAcentral describes it as "partial 16S ribosomal RNA". It matches the Rfam family "Bacterial small subunit ribosomal RNA", at positions 338 to 755 of the family's 1533-position model. The record is from RNAcentral.
CCUACGGGUGGCAGCAGUAGGGAAUGUUGCGCAAUGGGGGAAACCCUGACGCAGCAACGCCGCGUGAUCGAUGAAGACCUUCGGGGUGUAAAGAUCUGUCAGUGGGGACGAAACCUGACGGUACCCACAGAGGAAGCACCGGCUAACUCCGUGCCAGCAGCCGCGGUAAUACGGGGGGUGCAAGCGUUGGCCGGAAUAAUUGGGCGUAAUGAGUUCUUAGGUGGCACGUUAAGUCUGGUGUUAAAGGCGGAAGCUCAACUUCCGUAGGGCACUGGAUACUGGCGAGCUUGAAUGCGGUAGCGUUCACGGGAAUUCCUGGUGUAGCGGUUACAUGCGUAGAUCUCAGGAGGCACAUCGGUGGCGUACGCGCUUUACUGGGCCGUACUUGCCACUGAGGAACG